AGUAUGAAUCGCCGCCGCCACCACCAUACAAGUAUGAAUCGCCUCCUCCACCACCAUAUAAGUACGAAUCGCCACCGCCACCACCAUACAAGUACGAGUCGCCUCCUCCACCUCCGUACAAGUAUGAAUCGCCUCCUCCCCCACCAUACUACUACAAAUCACCACCACCACCUCCUUACAAGUAUGAAUCUCCCCCUCCACCUCCAUAUUACUACAAAUCUCCACCCCCGCCACCACCUUACUACUACAAAUCACCACCACCACCUUCUCCUGUCUACAAAUAUAAAUCUCCACCACCACCACCUUACAAGUACGAAUCUCCUCCUCCACCUCCAUACUAUUACAAGUCUCCACCACCACCGCCGUAUUACUACAAGUCUCCACCACCACCACCUCCAGUUUACAAAUACAAAUCUCCUCCUCCGCCACCAUAUUACUACAAAUCACCACCUCCUCCAUCACCAGUAUAUUACUACAAAUCUCCUCCUCCACCAGCGUAUUACUACAAAUCUCCCCCACCGCCUGUCUACUAUUACAAAUCCCCGCCACCUCCAGCUUACCACUACCAAUCGCCACCCCCACCAAGUUACAAGCUGGUAGUGGUCACGGGCAAGGUCUAUUGCAACAGAUGCUGGAACACCACAAGCAGAUACCUUCAGGCAUCACCACAUGGGUCUGCUAGGUACAUUCUCAAUUGCAUUGUAUUCGAUAUUGUUCUCCUCACUCAUUUCCUCUUGAUACUGUGUGCAAUAAUGCAGGUGGCAAAGUGAAGAUCACAUGUGGCGAAUCUUACUACUACGGCUACACCAACAAGCAUGGAAUCUUUAGAAUUGAGCUCCCGCACCAAUCCUGGGAAGAAGCAAGCAGCUGCAAGGCCAAGAUUAUCAAGAGCAGCUACAUCAAGUCGUCAUGCAAUGUCAUCACGGACUACAGGUCUGGUGCAACAGGGGCCAAGCUCAAGUUCAAAUCGAAAACAGAGAAGGAGCUCGUCUUGACAGCCGGUCCUUUCAUCUAUGCAACUCCAGAGCCAUCGUCAGUCUGCUUCUACACAUCACCUCCCUAUGAGUACAAGUCACCUCCGCCACCAACACCGGUCUACCAUUACGCCUCUCCGCCACCUCCGGUCUACUACUACAAAUCGCCACCUCCUCCUUCACCGGUUUACUACUACAAAUCCCCUCCUCCUCCUUCGCCGGUCUACUAUUACAAAUCCCCGCCUCCACCACCAUACUAUUACAAGUCCCCACCUCCACCUCCGCCUAAGUAUUACUACAAGUCGCCCCCACCACCGUCUCCAUACUAUUACAAAUCCCCGCCCCCUCCACCGUACUAUUACAAAUCCCCACCACCACCUCCCUACAAAUACGAAUCGCCGCCGCCUCCUCCUUACAAAUACGAGUCCCCACCUCCACCACCUUACUAUUACAAGUCCCCACCACCACCUCCAUACAAAUAUGAAUCCCCGCCACCUCCAGUCUACAAAUAUGAGUCUCCGCCACCCCCAGUUUACAAAUACAAGUCGCCACCACCACCAUACAAGUACGAGUCACCACCACCACCUCCAUACAAGUAUGAAUCCCCGCCACCUCCACCUUAUUACUACAAGUCCCCUCCACCACCACCAUACAAGUACGAGUCGCCACCACCUCCUCCGUACAAGUAUGAAUCUCCACCACCACCAGUUUACAAAUACAAGUCACCUCCGCCGCCACCUUAUUACUACAAAUCCCCACCGCCACCUCCAUACAAGUACGAGUCUCCACCUCCUCCUCCGUACAAGUAUGAAUCUCCACCACCACCACCUUAUUACUACAAAUCCCCCCCGCCACCUCCAUACAAGUACGAGUCACCGCCUCCUCCUCCGUACAAGUAUGAAUCUCCACCACCGCCAGUUUACAAAUACAAGUCACCCCCGCCACCACCUUAUUACUACAAAUCCCCGCCACCACCUCCAUACAAGUACGAGUCUCCACCUCCUCCUCCGUACAAGUAUGAAUCUCCACCACCACCUCCUUAUUACUACAAAUCCCCGCCGCCACCUCCCUACAAGUAUGAAUCCCCGCCACCACCUCCCUACAAAUACGAGUCACCUCCACCACCACCUUACUAUUACAAAUCUCCUCCACCGCCUCCAUACAAGUAUGAGUCGCCACCACCACCAGUCUACAAAUACGAGUCUCCGCCACCCCCAGUUUACAAAUACAAGUCGCCCCCUCCACCUUAUUACUACAAGUCUCCGCCACCCCCGCCAUACAAAUAUGAAUCCCCACCUCCACCUCCCUACAAGUAUGAAUCGCCUCCUCCUCCACCUUACUACUACAAGUCCCCUCCACCACCUCCCUACAAAUAUGAAUCCCCGCCACCACCUCCCUAUAAAUACGAGUCACCACCACCACCACCUUACUAUUACAAAUCUCCUCCACCGCCUCCAUACAAGUAUGAGUCGCCACCACCACCUCCCUACAAAUACGAGUCACCACCACCACCACCUUACAAGUAUGAAUCCCCACCUCCACCUCCGUACAAGUAUGAAUCACCUCCACCGCCUCCAUACAAGUAUGAAUCCCCUCCUCCACCUCCCUACAAAUACGAGUCACCACCCCCACCACCUUAUUACUACAAAUCGCCUCCGCCACCGGAGUAUCAAUCAC
RNAcentral lists this long non-coding RNA (2651 nucleotides) under Selaginella moellendorffii. Its description in RNAcentral is "long non-coding RNA (SMOE_LNC002368)". The record is from RNAcentral. Lineage: Eukaryota; Viridiplantae; Streptophyta; Lycopodiopsida; Selaginellales; Selaginellaceae.